This is a non-coding RNA of Caenorhabditis elegans, 225 nucleotides long. NCBI's taxonomy places the organism in Eukaryota, Metazoa, Nematoda, Chromadorea, Rhabditida, Rhabditidae. The record is from Ensembl.
CACUUCCUGAAUUUUCCAUCAUCAAGGUCCCUAGAUUUAUCAAUUGUUAAAAAAUUAUACUUCUCCUUGAAUGUAUCUCUUGUAAAUUCAAGAAAUUCAUCUUUCUUGAUUUCUGAAAAGUGAUCCCUGUAGAUGUAAUCUAAAUUCAUCUUAUCUUGAGGAAAUACUAUGAAGAAGUUGGCAUUCUCUCUAAUUGUACUCUUUGGAAGUUUUAUAUAAUUCUGA